UGUUGGGUUAAGUCCCGCAACGAGCGCAACCCUUGUCAUUAGUUGCUACAUUCAGUUGGGCACUCUAAUGAGGACUGCCGGUGACAAGCCGGAGGAAGGUGGGGAUGACGUCAAGUCCUCAUGGCCCUUAUAGGUGGGGCUACACACAUCAUACAAUGGCUGGUACAAAGGGUUGCAACCGCGAGGGGGGAGCUAAUCCCAUAAAGCCAGUCGUAGUCCGGAUCGUAGUCUGCAACUCGACUACGUGAAGUCGGAAUCGCUAGUAAUCGUGGAUCAGAAUGUCACGGUGAAUACGUUCCCGGGUCUU
Molecule: ribosomal RNA, 307 nt
Filed under: uncultured Rhodoferax sp.
Lineage: Bacteria; Pseudomonadati; Pseudomonadota; Betaproteobacteria; Burkholderiales; Comamonadaceae
Description: bacterial SSU rRNA
Rfam family: Bacterial small subunit ribosomal RNA
Source: RNAcentral